Molecule: non-coding RNA, 45 nt
Filed under: Schistosoma haematobium
Lineage: Eukaryota; Metazoa; Platyhelminthes; Trematoda; Strigeidida; Schistosomatidae
Source: RNAcentral
GUCUAUCUGACGAGUCCCAAAUAGAACGAAACGCGUGUUCUGGAU